RNAcentral lists this ribosomal RNA (443 nucleotides) under uncultured bacterium. RNAcentral's name for it is "partial 16S ribosomal RNA". It matches the Rfam family "Bacterial small subunit ribosomal RNA", at positions 338 to 795 of the family's 1533-position model. The record is from RNAcentral.
CCUACGGGAGGCAGCAGUGGGGAAUAUUGGGCAAUGGGCGCAAGCCUGACCCAGCAACGCCGCGUGAAGGAAGAAGGCUUUCGGGUUGUAAACUUCUUUUCUGAGGGACGAAGAAAGUGACGGUACCUCAGGAAUAAGCCUCGUCUAACUACGUGCCAGCAGCCGCGGUAAUACGUAGGUGGCAAGCGUUAUCCGGAUUUAUUGGGUGUAAAGGGUGUGUAGGCGGGAAAGCAAGUCAGAUGUGAAAACUCAGGGCUCAACCCUGAGACUGCAUUUGACACUGUUUUUCUUGAGUGCAGGAGAGGUAAUCGGAAUUCCGGGUGUAGCGGUGAAAUGCGUAGAUAUACGGAGGAACACCAGUGGCGAAGGCGGAUUGCUAGACAGUAACUGACGCUGAGGCGCGAAAGCGUGGGGAGCAAACAGGAUUAGAUACCCCUGUAGUC